Molecule: long non-coding RNA, 1546 nt
Organism: Oncorhynchus kisutch (coho salmon)
Lineage: Eukaryota; Metazoa; Chordata; Actinopteri; Salmoniformes; Salmonidae
Exons: 2
Source: RefSeq, a predicted model, not a curated record
GUUUACUUCCUGGUUGCACCAUGAGAAGAGGAUGGCUGCAUCAAAGCUCCCAAACAAAAGUUUUACUUUGAGUGAAGUUCUGGAUAUGUUGGAUCUAGGUGACCACCCAGACAAGGCAUGCAACAUUGCAGAGGGUCGCAAUGAAAGAUGUACAAUGUCACAUGUUUAGUGUAAAUUGUCACAUGACCAGAGCUGUUUACUUCCUGGUUGCACAAUGAGAAAGAUGCUGUCCUCCGUGAUUGUAAUAGCGAUGGGUCAGAUAUGGACUCUGAGGGGGAGACAGGCCAUUUGCCAGCCAGGCUGUUGAAUGUAUAUGCUGAAUCUAUGCAAACAGAUCAUGACAGGAACAAGGUUAUCAGUGAUGAUGCGCAAUGCGGAUAAAAUGCUUUGAUUAAAUGAUGGCCUCAGUUCAUGUGGUUGACAACACAAAGAUCACUGACAACCAAUUUUUGAAGGUUAAGCACAUCUUCUCUGAGCUCAAUCAGUCACACAAAGUCAUGCCAUUUCAGAAAUGGCUGUCAGUGGAUGAGACCAUGAUCCGAUACUAUGGCCGACAUGGAUGUAAGCAAUACAUUAGAGGUAAACCAAUCCGUUUUGGAACAAUGGAACAAGGAGCGACGUGCCUUUUGACAAAGUCCCCACAACCAAAAUGCUUUUGGGAAAAAAGGUCAAUUGAUUCAAGAUGUACUGUAUGACAGUAGGUCUGACUGAUCGUAGUUCAAAAUAGUGAUGCACAAACUAAUUGUGCACUUGGUCCUGAAGCCUACCUCGAAAGAUAUAUAUAUUAUUUUAUUUUGUUCAGUGUAGGCCUCUACUUGAAUGCAUAUUCUACAGGCCAUCUCUAUCCUAAAUGUUACCUGUAUGUUCAAUGUGAAUGGCUCACACGACUGCUAUACAGUUGUUAGUGAAUGUUGCACUAAAAUGUCACAAUGACAAUGUUACAAUGAAUAUUGCACUGAAGUACAAGUUCAAAUGUUACAAUAAAGUUACAAUAUGAAUGCUUCAGUACAUGUUGCACUAAAGUAACACUGUUAGAAUGUAUGUUACAAUAAAGUUACAAUAUUAAUGCUUCAGUACAUGUUGCACUAAAGUAACACUGUUAGAAUGUAUGUUACAAUAAAGUUACAAUAUUAAUGCUUCAGUACAUGUUGCACUAAAGUAACACUGUUAGAAUGUAUGUUACAAUAAAGUUACAAUAUUAAUGCUUCAGUACAUGUUGCACUAAAGUAACACUGUUAGAAUGUAUGUUACAAUAAAGUUACAAUAUUAAUGCUUCAGUACAUGUUGCACUAAAGUAACACUGUUAGAAUGUAUGUUACAAUAAAGUUACAAUAUUAAUGCUUCAGUACAUGUUGCACUAAAGUAACACUGUUAGAAUGUAUGUUACAAUAAAGUUACAAUAUUAAUGCUUCAGUACAUGUUGCACUAAAGUAACACUGUUAGAAUGUAUGUUACAAUAAAGUUACAAUAUUAAUGCUUCAGUACAUGUUGCACUAAAGUAACACUGUUAGAAUGUAUGUUACAAUAAAGUUACAAUGUUAAAAUA